GGGUUGUGAGGUUAAGCGACUAAGCGUACACGGUGGAUGCCCUGGCAGUCAGAGGCGAUGAAGGGCGUGCUAAUCUGCGAUAAGCGCCGGUAAGGUGAUAUGAACCGUUAUAACCGGCGAUACCCGAAUGGGGAAACCCAGUGUGACUCGUCACACUAUCAUUAACUGAAUCCAUAGGUUAAUGAGGCGAACCGGGGGAACUGAAACAUCUAAGUACCCCGAGGAAAAGAAAUCAACCGAGAUUCCCCCAGUAGCGGCGAGCGAACGGGGAGGAGCCCAGAGCCUGAAUCAGCAUGUGUGUUAGUGGAAGCGUCUGGAAAGGCGCGCGAUACAGGGUGACAGCCCCGUACACAAAAGCGCAUGUGCUGUGAGCUCGAUGAGUAGGGCGGGACACGUGGUAUCCUGUCUGAAUAUGGGGGGACCAUCCUCCAAGGCUAAAUACUCCUGACUGACCGAUAGUGAACCAGUACCGUGAGGGAAAGGCGAAAAGAACCCCGGCGAGGGGAGUGAAAAAGAACCUGAAACCGUGUACGUACAAGCAGUGGGAGCCCCACCACCAAAGCAUUUGCUGUACCGCGUUGACGGAGCGAAGCGACGUCAAACCGAUAAAACAGCAGUGUAAAGUGAGCCGCAGGGCG
RNAcentral lists this ribosomal RNA (638 nucleotides) under Salmonella enterica subsp. enterica serovar Typhimurium. Its description in RNAcentral is "partial 23S ribosomal RNA". It matches the Rfam family "Bacterial large subunit ribosomal RNA", at positions 1 to 595 of the family's 2925-position model. The record is from RNAcentral. Lineage: Bacteria; Pseudomonadati; Pseudomonadota; Gammaproteobacteria; Enterobacterales; Enterobacteriaceae. RNAcentral also lists the same sequence under 1 other name.